GAAGAAACCGAUACUGAAAGGCGGCCCAAAGCCUUCCGGUGGCAGCAAGGUAUGGAAAAGGAAGAGCGACGAUAAUAAUGACGACAAUGACAAAUCCAAGGCGCAUGCUCGACCGCAUCAACAGAAUCCACCAUCGAGAAGCAUACCAAAAAAGGGCAACAGAAAUGUCGGUAGAGGCAACCGAGGGAAGGAAC
RNAcentral lists this small nuclear RNA (194 nucleotides) under Minutocellus polymorphus. RNAcentral's name for it is "partial Dictyostelium signal recognition particle". The record is from RNAcentral. Lineage: Eukaryota; Bacillariophyta; Thalassiosirophyceae; Cymatosirales; Cymatosiraceae.